UUGCAAAAGCUUCUUUCAUACGAACCCAUAUUUCUCUCUCUACGGUAGAAAAAUGGCGAAACAAAUCCCUUGGCAAAUUCAAUCGACGAUUAUAGCUCUGUGUCUUCAUCCUAUUGCGAUUUUGCAGUGGCUUUUGUAUGUGUUGAUGUGAUUUGCUAAUUUGCAGCGGCGUUUGUACAUUUUACUGCAUAUUCUGGUAUUUAUACACUCAAAUCGUGAAGUGGGUCGAUUUAAACUUUUCCUUCAACUUAUGGUACUUGUUUUCAAAAAAAUUUAACACAAAAAAGCUGAGAAUGUUGAGAUAUAAUCUUUUUCUCCCAGUUCCUUCAAACUUGUUGCUUUUUUAUUUGAUUUAUUAAGCAGGAAUUUCAAGACGUUUUCCCCCAUUCAACCUUAUUGCAUCGUUUCAAACCUUCCUAACGUACCGUCAAGCAUGAAUUUCGACAGUCGAGAUUACUGUUCCUGGGUUUAGUUUCUUAUGAUUCGGGUUCUCGGGUCGUCGAAUUUAAUAUUUUUGGUGAGGUGAUUUUUCUUCUUCUGCUAGAAUUUUUGGAUUUCUAUUUUAUAGGUUUCAAAUUAAAAGGCUUUGUUUGUCUAGGUAAAAAUGUAGGUGCUUUAGUGACAAAUUUUUAAGAUUAUUCCUAUUCGUGUUGUUGUCCGUAUAAGUCACCCUUAGUUUUUGGUUCAAACUUCAUGGGCCUGUAGUAAUAAAGGUAGCAAUAUUGAUUGGAUGUAGUUGAUUUUGUUGUUCAAAAUCCGAGUGAACGAAAUUUUGUCAAUUUGGACAACCAACAUCCAUGUAAUCCUCACUUACAUAAAAACAGGCUCUGCAUUUAAUAAAAGAUUUCACAAGAAUUUUUUCCCUAAAAAAGAUAUAUCAAAUAUAUCAUUUUGAUAUACUAAAUAAUUAUUUUUCGAUCUUACGACAUGAGGUCCCUUGUCAUGUGACCUGGUUCCCAAAACAAUAUUUAUUUUGAUUUCAUGUGAUUUGAGUACAUUUUCUUAAUAAUUAAUAACGCACAAUAAAUUGGUUAUUUAUUGUUUUAGUCGAGUUUGAAUUCCCUUUUAAUUGUAAUUUUAUUUUGGAGCGGCUUUAAUUUAAUAGUAUGUAAAGCUAUGCCUUGAUAAUGAGAGGUGGAACCACGAAACUUUGUUAUUAGUCCGACAUGUUUGUAGACUUGCUCCAAGAUGGAUUGAAUCAAGACAGACUACAUAAAACGUAAUCUCGAUUGAAAAAUGAAAUAUAAAGAAAAGAGGGUCACAAAUUGGGUACAUGGCACAUGGUGGACUUCAUUCAAAUGAUCCAAAGCUGUGAAUUUAUUUUUAAUGCGUGGAUAAUAAAUAGUUAGUAAUUAUAGAAUAAAAUGUAUGAAUGAAAAAAUAUAUUUGAUCAAUUUAAAUUAUAAUUUAAGUUUUUUCAAAUAUAAAUUCAUGUAUCUUUAUCUUUGGAAAUUCAAGUGGAUGUUAGUUUAGCACAGUGAAUGUGCAUGCAAGAAAAUAGUAAUUUUUGCUUGAUUUGAUACAUUCAAAAUGGAGAAGUAACAAUGAUACAUGGAGAAUAUGCAUAGGCUAAUCUAUAGCUUGAACUCAGAUAAGAAAGAGAGGAGGAAGAUUGCUUAACUAAUCUGGAGAAAGGUAGGGAGAGGAUCAUCUUCGACUGAGGGAUUGUUCUAAUCCUUUGAGAAAAAUGAUGAUUUCUAUUGAUACAAAUGGGAGGUAAUAAAUAAAUCAUUUUGUAAGUAACAAGCCACCAACAAAUGUCACCGUAAACACAAACAUAGAUUAUUUGUAAAGAUUUCAUCAACUUGGUUGAAUGAAAAUAUACUGAGCAAUAGAUGUAUGGUCUUUAUUCAAGCAUGUUUGUAUUCAAGCUAGAAAUAGCCAUCGAAUAUGGAAAAAAAAAACCCUCACUUUAUUUAUUUAAAAUUGCAUGCAAGACAUAAAUGUGUAUUAUUUUGAUAGAUGACGUGUUCCAUCCGACUCGGAACUCAUACCUACACUAAGGAACUAAAAAUUUGUAAUGUGCAGCAAAUUGUGGAAUUUUAGGCUAAUGAAAGAUGGAUAGAUAAAUUGUUUUUUAAUUGGUUAUAUGUUGGUCCAUAGAUGCAGAAUCCUCUUUACUUAGUUUGUGCAUAUACACAUUGUUAAUUAGACUUGUGGGGAAGUGUCGGAUAAUAUCCCUUGUUGAACAUGGGUGUUCAAUUUUUUUUCAAGUUUUUAAAUUCAUUCUAUAAAUCACUCAAGAUUUCUCUUUCUUAAUUUCACGCUGACUUGAUGAUAAUGAAUUCAAGUACCUGGUGAUUGGAAGUCGAUAAGAAAGCCCUCUUUCAUACCUUCGAAUAGACAUGUUUUUAUUUGGAUAUGUUGAUAUCUUUUCACAUAGACAAACACAUAAAGCACAAAGAGAAUAUAAAGAACAAAGAGAAAUUCUACCCACGGCAAACUCCUACACACACUUCUACAUACAUAAACAAUAUGGUUUUCCGACAUUUUUGUACAUUGGCAUAAAUAUGGAUGUGUGCAUUAGCUUCCUUUUUUUUUUUUACGUCUGUCAUUUGUCCACUUGAAUUCUUCUAUUAUCUUCAAUAUUCUAUUCUUUCUCCAAUAGUCAGAAAAUUUCUACAUAUGUGUUCUUCUCAUCAAUGUCUGAGUAGUGUCUUUUUGUUUCUAUUAGAAUAUUUAUAGUGUUUGUGUGUUCAAAACUGCAAUUUAUAUUAUGUUCAUUAUUGUGUUUUUACGUAUUAUAAAUAGGUCAAUUUGUCUUCAAAUAUUUUUUACAGCCAACUUUUUUAUUGGAAAAUUUAAUUCUAAUGUUUGGAUGAUUAAACAGAUAUGCUAAUACUUUUCUUAAAUUCUUUUAGUUCCUGUUGCUCACCUCGAGCUCCAACCAUUCGAUAAGUUAUCUUAUUGUUCUCAUGGAUAUUUCGAAAAUGUGUGCUGAUAAAGAGACUGGUUCUCUUAACUUUGAAACAAAUUUCCAUUGCCAACAACGAAAUCAUAGGCAAAGGGAUUGAUGAAAUAAACUUAGAAUUGGCUGCAGUAAUCGUCGCAAGAGGAUAACUAAUACUCUAUCAUUUGGAAAUAAUGAUUCCAGUGUUGCACAAGUGCAACAUUCUGUAAUGCAUCAUGAUGAUGGGCUUCUAUUUCAAACCAAGAAAUGCCUAAUAUUUCCAUUUCUGAAUUCGGAGGUAGUUUGACUCUACUAAACAUACCAACGAGUGCAUAUAUAUUACCAACUUGCAUAUAUUGUAAACAUUGUGAUGCACGAAAAUUUUAUAGAGAAAGUAAAGGUUUCUAUUGCUCCGAUGGAAAAAUUCAGCUUUGUAUGCCUGAUUCACCGGCUGAAUUGUACAACUUGUUUACUUCUAAAGAACUUAACUUUAUGGAAUUCAAAAAAAAAUUGCAAGAGGAUAUAAUAACCAUUUUGCGUUUAUUUCAUUUGGUGUAAAGUAAAACAAGGAUCUUUUUAAAGCAUACAAAGGUAUUUAUACAUUUAGGGUUCAAGGGCAAGUAUAUCAUUAUGUGAAUGAACUUAUGCCACAGAACAAUACCCCUUCUUAUAUGCAGUUAUACUUUUAUGACAUAGAUAAUGAACUUCAAAAUCGUAUGAGAAUUUCAGAAAACUUUGUUGAAUCUACUUUGAUUGUUUUAAUUGAAAUCCUGAAAGUAAAUCCAUAUAGUAGAUUCUUUAGGUCUUUAAGUGAUAUGUCUAACUUGCACGACAUCGUAUACACAUAAGAUGUGAUCAGGGAUUUGAUCAAAAAGUCUUCAAUACUCCUACAACAUCUCAAGUAGUUGUUGUAUGGGUCGAAGAUGAUGAAAAUGCCAAUGUUCAUGUUCGUGACAUUACUAUAUAUGGCCAUUUCGGUGAUUCACAUAGAGUUCAUUAUUAUUAUGGUUGUUAUGAUCCUUUACAGUAUCCUUUACUUUUUCCAUAUGAGGAAUCUGGUUGGCAUAAAGGCAUUUGAAGAUGUAGAAGCAUGUACUUUGAGCCUGAAUUCGUUGAAUUUCCAAGCACAGUUACCUCUGCAGCUGAAUUUAUCGAAAAAGAAAAUCAAGGUUUGCAAAUAUACCUUCUUAUACAUUCUUCUAACUUUUACAAUUUGGAUGUUUUAAAUGAAUGCUCGUUUUUGUUUUCCUUUUUGCCAUGCAGUGC
Molecule: long non-coding RNA, 4156 nt
Filed under: Olea europaea subsp. europaea
Lineage: Eukaryota; Viridiplantae; Streptophyta; Magnoliopsida; Lamiales; Oleaceae
Source: RNAcentral